This 69-nucleotide transfer RNA is filed under the name Ictidomys tridecemlineatus (thirteen-lined ground squirrel). Its description in RNAcentral is "Spermophilus tridecemlineatus (thirteen-lined ground squirrel) tRNA". It matches the Rfam family "tRNA". Rfam says of the family: Transfer RNA (tRNA) molecules are approximately 80 nucleotides in length. Their secondary structure includes four short double-helical elements and three loops (D, anti-codon, and T loops). The record is from Rfam by way of RNAcentral. Lineage: Eukaryota; Metazoa; Chordata; Mammalia; Rodentia; Sciuridae.
GGGAUUGUGGCUCAGUGGUAGAGUGCUUGCCUGGCACGUGUGAAACUCUGGGUUCUAUCCUCAGCACCA